GUUGUUUUUCUUUUUAUGCAGUUUGAAUCUUAUUAUGAGAAAAAUUCCACUCGAAUGAGAUACCAAGAAGCAGCAUCCACUCGAGAUUCAGAUCCAGAAAAAUUAUACAACUUAAAAUGUGAUCGGGGUAAAGCUUUGAAAAGUGCUAAUGAGAUUCCUCCAAGUUGGACCAGUUUCCGAGUUCUCAGGAGAAGCAUGUUGGCCAGGCGUUACAAUCUACUGCUGGCUCAGGCAGAGGACUGUGCACGUGAUCACAAGGGGUGGCCAGAAAUGGGCUCCCUCGCAGGAGAGCCUGGAUUCGGUGGGGAAGAGAAAACAAAGAUCGCAAUUAAAUCAACCCCCCUUAACCAGGACUCUUUGACCCAUGUCAGCAUCCCCCAUGGUACCCAACCAAACGCAUGGAAAAGAAGAUGGUGAAGAGGAACAGGAUGUAGAGGAGGGAUGAGCCAGAUCUCCUGAUACGAGGCAAGAUGGGGGGGUGUGGGGUGGAGCCCCGGGAGGAGAGCUGGGGGCCAAGGCUCCAGAGACACUGCCUGUGUCACCAGUAUCCCGGGUGUCCUGCCUCGGGAUGAAAUGUUGGGCUCUAGUCUCCCAUGGGAACGCUAAUUAGCUGGGUGACUUUAAUCAAGUUGGUUUGCCUCUCUGGGCCUCAGCAUCCUUGCCUAUGGAAUGAAGGAAAUGCGCUAAACCCAAGGAUCUCUUCCAACCCUGGAUUCCAUACCUUUUUGUUCCACCUCCAGACACAACAGUGUCACGCUAAGCUUGCAAUGAUCACAGGGUGAGGUCUCUGCCUGGCUCCUCCAUCAAACCUUGAGCUCCUCCAAGAAAAGUACCACACACUGGAUUUUGUCGGCUGCUGCCGCCUUUUCAUUUCCCCCUGGACCUGGCAUUAUUUUGCUUAACGAACGAAUGAAUGACCUGAAGGAGUGAGGAGUUCUGACAGCCCAAGAGCAGAAGUCUGGGCUCAGACAGAGCUGAUGGAACAGCAACGCGACUGCUUCUGCUACGAGUGGGUUUGAACAGACUGCUGGUUUGUCCCAGGGUUCGGGGACAGUCCCAGUUUUCACUUGUCCUGGUGUAAUUAUUAGAACAUUUCCUUUCAGCUUUGCAAAUGUCCCCACUGGAUGAUAAAGGUAAUGGUCACCUUGGAAAUGAGGGAACCCAGGGUCCGUGAUACUGACCAUGUGCCAGUUGUAUUGACCAGCUCUUUUAGUACAUGUUCUUGGUCAAUCUACCUCAAAACUCUUAAUAUAGCAGUUAUUAUCCCCAUUUUACAGAUAAAAACUUUGAGGUUCAGCA
This 1299-nucleotide long non-coding RNA is filed under the name Capra hircus (goat). RNAcentral's name for it is "lncRNA (ENSCHIG00000007544.1)". Lineage: Eukaryota; Metazoa; Chordata; Mammalia; Artiodactyla; Bovidae. The record is from RNAcentral.